GGGGCUGUAGCUCAGCUGGCUAGAGCACCUGCUUUGCAAGCAGGGGGUCACGAGUUCGAAUCUCGUCAGCUCCACCA
Molecule: transfer RNA, 77 nt
Filed under: Candidatus Peribacteria bacterium RIFCSPHIGHO2_01_FULL_54_22
Lineage: Bacteria; Candidatus Peregrinibacteriota; Candidatus Peribacteria
Also listed under: 5 other names
Description: tRNA-Ala
Rfam family: tRNA
About the family: Transfer RNA (tRNA) molecules are approximately 80 nucleotides in length.
Source: RNAcentral